CGGCAGGCUUAACACAUGCAAGUCGAGGGGUAACGGGGAAGCUUGCUUCCGCCGACGACCGGCGCACGGGUGCGUAACGCGUAUACAAUCUACCUUGUACUGGGGUAUAGCCUUUAGAAAUGAAGAUUAAUCCCCCAUAGUCUCUUAGAGUGGCAUCACUUCUAGAGUAAAGGUUACGGUAUAAGAUGAGUAUGCGUUCUAUUAGUUUGUUGGUGUGGUAACGGCACACCAAGACUACGAUAGAUAGGGGCCCUGAGAGGGGGAUCCCCCACACUGGUACUGAGACACGGACCAGACUCCUACGGGAGGCAGCAGUGAGGAAUAUUGGACAAUGGAGGCAACUCUGAUCCAGCCAUGCCGCGUGCAGGAAGACUGCCCUAUGGGUUGUAAACUGCUUUUAUACAGGAAGAAACACCUCUACGUGUAGAGGCUUGACGGUACUGUAAGAAUAAGGAUCGG
This 459-nucleotide ribosomal RNA is filed under the name uncultured Bacteroidota bacterium. RNAcentral's name for it is "bacterial SSU rRNA". It matches the Rfam family "Bacterial small subunit ribosomal RNA", at positions 40 to 496 of the family's 1533-position model. The record is from RNAcentral. Lineage: Bacteria; Pseudomonadati; Bacteroidota.